GGACUGGAGAUGAAAUAAGAUUGGCCAUGAGUCAUUCAUUGUGCUGAGUGAUGGGUGGAUUUCUCUAUACUAGUCUGCCUACUUUUUGCAUAUUUUUGAAAUUUUCCAUGAGAAAAGUUAUUUUAUAAAUAUCUAUUACCUAUUCAUAGAAAAAAAUUAGAAGUAUAUACUCAAAAUGUAACAGUGGUGAUAGGUGAUUUUUAUUUUCUUCUUUGUGCUGCCCCACAGUUUCCACAUUUCUGCAAGUGUGUAUUAUUUUUAAAAUCAAGAAAGGUGUUUUUCUUGGGAAAGUGGCUACCGAUUAUUGGCCCAGCUGGAAAUGAGUAGGCUUAACGAGCAAAAACCAAGCCCUGGCUAGAGAAAUAUAAGUUAAUUAAAUUAAGGGUAGCUUCCCAGCAGAGAGAGAGAGAGAAACCAGGUAAAGGGAAGGCGAAAGUUUUAGCUUCUUCCUCUGCUAAGGAAACUUGAGCUGUGAGAAGAGGCUUUGUGUAAGGGAUGGACUGAGAUUUGAGGGAAGAACAAGAAAUAAAGGCAUGGAGGAAAAGGCAAGGAAGACUGAGAAAGACGUGGUGAAAUUACCUUAAGAUUGCAAUAUUAGGAGACUUGGAAGAAACCUCCAUCCUCUGGGACUUGGAGAAGGCUGUGCUGGAAUCUGUGUGGAGGUUAAGAAAACUAUCCCUUUGGUUGUGGCCUGAGUUUAUUAUCUCAACCCCAAUGUUGCCCUGAAAUCUGUGUUCAAGAUUCAAGAAGAUUAGGACUGCUAAGGAGAUGACCUGUCCUGCCCUGUCUAUUUUGCUGAGCCAUGUGAGACUUAUCUAAGAAACGAUCAGAAGCACUUAUAUUUCAGCACCUUGGAGAGCUACCAGUGGAUGUGGGUGAUGUCGUUUUACGCAUCAGCCAUUUGGGGCUAUGGUUCCACUGAAAACGUUGACUGGACUGCUUGAAGCGUGGCUGUCUCUUCUGACUCGCUACAUCCAGCAACCAAAGAUGUGCCUUAAAAUAUUUAACAAUUUCUCUAUUGAUACAUAUCAUACUCAUUGUUUUUGUUCUUACAAUUAUUUCUUCACUAGUCAUCUGUGGAGAAAUAUUCUUCUGUUCUGGUGCUUUUAAACUCCUAAAUUUGAAAUACUAGAUUGGUUUGCUUAUGUGAGCAUCUUUAUAAAGUCAGGGCAAUAAUUAGUUUAUUCCAGGUUUUCUCUUAUGCCAUCACCCAUGAAUCUCCUGCAUCAUACCUAGCACCUCUGAAAGAAAUAUGAGCUUUUUCAAAAGAGAGUAAAGACAUGCAUUUGAUACAGUUUUGUAAUUUCUAUUCUGUCAUACUAAUCUCAGGCUCUUAAAAACAUUUUGUUAUGGGUAAAGGAGAAAAAAUUUCAAAGAAUUUCAGGAAAAAGAAUACCUUAAAAAUGUGUAUGCUGAAAAAAUUAAAGUGAGUAUGAACAAAUGAAUGUAAUAUGUCAAUAUUAAGAGUUCUACGGCCAAAAAAGCAUUAGCAUGAUUUGAAAACAGAUUGCAUGUCUCUUUAAACAAUGGCAUCUCUAAAAAUGGGAUGCUGUUAUAAAUAUACUUCUGUUAAUUGUCUUCAUGUCAGACUUAAUUUAAUCAUAAAAAAAUUUGAUUUGAUUUUAAUACUGUAGGAAACAUAUUUUGGUUUUAAGGAUUACCUAAAAAUCAAGUUGUAAUCUUUUUAAAAAGUAUAAAAUUACUAUAUCUUCACAAAUCAGCAAGGAGUAAUGCUAGCCAGGGCUUUUCUAAGCUAACCAUACAAUCUUUUUUUUCUCAUUUUUCUUUUGGCUUUCCUUCUAUUGAAUUUCUUCUACAGGGAAUUGAUGUUGGGUAACCUUGCAACAGAUUUUAAAUCCCUUUGACUUUUAAUUUACAUUGUAUUAUUUUUACACAAAAAUCGGGUCUUGUUUCUUUCUUUUUGCUUAGGUAAACAGUUAAAAAAGCUUUAACCCAGAGAUACUUCAUCUUUUGAAAUCUGCUAAAUUUUUAACUAGCUCAAAUUUUCUUAAUUAGGCAAGAUAUAAAUAAAUUUAUAAGUAAAGUUUUUAAUCUUUUGACCCGUACAUAUUGAGCUACAGAGCAUAACAGCUACUUUAAAAAUGUAAGAAUAAGUGAUUGUAUAUCUGUGUGUGUGUGUGAGAAUGUUUAUUAAUCAUUUCUUUGUUUAUUUUAUUUUAUUCAUUCAUCAUCAAAAUAAUAGCCAAAAAUCUUCCAAUGAUUAGCUUAAUGAAGGAAAAGUUCUGUUUAAUAAAAUUUUAACAUUAAUAACAGUGUUAGGAUUAUUAAAAUGGUGUUUUGAUAUUGUCAUUCAAGCAACAUAAAAGACAUUAUAUAAAUCACUCCAUGAAAAAAAAAAGAGACAAGAUGAGUCACAUUUCCUUUCAGGCUGGCCAGAAAGAACAUUGCCAUAGAUUUGCCAGCACCUGACUAUUUUAUAACAUGGCAACAGUAUAAUAGAUUUCAACCUCAUUAAGUUUUGAGCCUGGGAUGGAACAACAUUAUGGCCAAUGGUUUAUAUUUGGCAAAAUUUAAUUUGGCCAACUUCAAUUUCCUAAAUUGGGAUCUCACUGAGAUGGCUGUUGUUGCCUGAACUCUUUUUGGGUCUUAGUGAGGUUGGCCUGAGUCUUAUGUGAGAAAGGCCAGAGCCAUGAAUUGGAUCCCAUUCUUAUUCUAUCUCUUGGUCACAGCCCACAGUUCUUGUACAGCUAACCACAACCUCAUCUUUGCAAACUUCAGAACUCUGUCUACCAAUAGGUGAAAGAAUGUUUAGUCCCUAUUCUAAUGCGUAUUGUGUGUUCAUUCAUCCUGCCAAUAUGAGUAGUAAGUGUAUUAGCAUAUUUAUAUGGUUUUCAUGUUUAUCUCUGUUAGAUAAUAAAUUUCCUGAGAAAAAGAGCUUUGCCCUAUUUUUUCAGCUUU
This is a long non-coding RNA of Equus asinus (donkey), 2919 nucleotides long. The record is from Ensembl. Lineage: Eukaryota; Metazoa; Chordata; Mammalia; Perissodactyla; Equidae.